GACAGCAGCUACCUGCCUGUGCUUCGGUGACAAAGCUCUUCUGAGGUUUGGGCGAACAAAGUGCUUGGUUCUUUUACUUUACAGAAACAUGACGGCACUGAGCCUGGACUGGUGGAGGCUAAACUGGGAGAGAGAUGCAGCUGCUGGAAGAACUGGUUCCCAAGGAAGAGGGAAGAAGAGACGUGGAAUAAAUGCCCCCAUAAUGCUCCUUCAUCCUCUGACAUCCUGGAUCUACCAGCAUGAGCUUGCAAGGCGGCCAGGCCAGCGGUCUCUAAGGCUCCCGGGCAUGGAGCAGGGACAGAGAAAAGUGGAUCACGCCUGAAAGAGACACCAACUGAGUAGCCAGCACGCCGAGAGUGAAACCAGAAGGCUGGCUGGAGCACACCGACCAACUGCGCAUGCCCAGAGUGAGACGGACUCUACAGCUGAGCAGUCCUCUCCUCUGCCAAAGCACACAGCAGGGUGUUUUGCAGCUUAUGCUGAUGAUAAAAAUGGGAAAAUGGGUUCUUUCUAUCCAUGUGGUACCAUGCAUGGUGAUAAGAUAUUUUCUUGUUAUAUGUAAAAAUGAAAUUCAUUUGGUUCCAAUACAGGAAAUCUGUGAAGUCUAAACUACCUAAGUGACUUUGACAACAUCACAAUAUACAGUGGCCUCUCUUGAGCCAUGCUACCAUUCUCUGGGGCUUUAGUUAUUCAUGAUUACCAAAGUCUGAAAAUAUUAAAUGGAAAAUCAUAGAAAUAGGCAACACAUUUUAGAAAUAAGUACACAUUUUAAUUUAUAGUUGCUUACUAUUUUAGAGACAUCUGAUGAAAUCUUGUGCUGG
Molecule: long non-coding RNA, 821 nt
Organism: Arvicola amphibius (Eurasian water vole)
Lineage: Eukaryota; Metazoa; Chordata; Mammalia; Rodentia; Cricetidae
Exons: 3
Source: RefSeq, a predicted model, not a curated record